AGCGAACGCUGGCGGCAGGCCUAACAAAUGCAAGUCGAACGAAGUCUUCGGACUUAGUGGCGGACGGGUGAGUAACACGUGGGAACGUACCUUUUGGUUCGGAAUAACGCAGGGAAACUUGCGCUAAUACCGAAUGCGCUCUUCGGAGGAAAGAUUUAUCGCCAUUAGAGCGGCCCGCGUUGGAUUAGGUAGUUGGUGGGGUAAAGGCCCACCACGCCUACGAUCCAUAGCUGGUCUGAGAGGAUGAUCAGCCACACUGGGACUGAGACACGGCCCAGAAUCCUACGGGAGGGAGCAGUGGGGAAUCUUGCGCAAUGGGCGGAGGCCUGACGCAGCCAUGCAGCGAGAAUGAUGAAGGUCUUAGGAUUGUAAAAUUCUUUUACCGGGGACGAUAAUGACGGUACCCGGAGAAAAAGCCCCGGCUAACUUCGUGCCAGCCGCCGCAGUAA
This 449-nucleotide ribosomal RNA is filed under the name uncultured bacterium. Its description in RNAcentral is "partial 16S ribosomal RNA". It matches the Rfam family "Bacterial small subunit ribosomal RNA", at positions 29 to 523 of the family's 1533-position model. The record is from RNAcentral.